AUAUCUCCCUCUGUGAUCGUAGCGGUCGUCUCUUAUAUUUUCUAUUUGAGUUCCUCUUCAUCGCGUAGUAAAGACGAUACAUACACGCGAUCCUUUAUCUAUUCUCAUAGAAAGAAGUUACACAUAUGGUAAAAUCGGAUGAUCUUGGUGAAUGUGCCAUGGAACAUCUGUCUCUUUCUUCAGCACAUUCGAUUCAAUGCUGAGACGUUUCUGCAUUCAGCUGGUAACAAAACUGGAAACUGCAAUCGAAUGACGAAACUACGAGAUUUUGUGCGAUAAACACAACAAAAAUAUAUAAAGUUUUUCUUCGAAGUGAUAUACAUGUAGGUAUGAUAUUAUAUGUAGUCCUUGUGCAAUGAAUCAUUUUAAAUAUUACGGAAUUUUAUAUAAAUCCUGUACUUUGCUUCAUCGAUACGAUAGUAAAUAGUAUGAUAAAAGUAGUAAUAUUUGAAUAAACAAAUAAUUUACGACUUAUUCUGCUUAUUUACAAUGAAAAGCAAAAAAGAAAUAAUAAUGAAAUCAUCUCAAUAAA
Vespula pensylvanica (western yellowjacket) is the source of this 532-nucleotide long non-coding RNA. RefSeq lists it as uncharacterized. Lineage: Eukaryota; Metazoa; Arthropoda; Insecta; Hymenoptera; Vespidae. The transcript has 2 exons. The record is from RefSeq and is a predicted model, not a curated record.